Molecule: long non-coding RNA, 692 nt
Organism: Gadus morhua (Atlantic cod)
Lineage: Eukaryota; Metazoa; Chordata; Actinopteri; Gadiformes; Gadidae
Exons: 2
Source: RefSeq, a predicted model, not a curated record
AUGGAACUCCGGCGACGCUUUUCCAUCGAAGCAAAUGGUGUACUGGCAGGCUUGCCAGCCCUAAGCCCUAAUCACCCAUCAUUCCUUGACAAGCAAGUUAUUCUGCCCAUGGCUCGCCAUUAUGGGGUCAGCGAGGAGAAUUUGUGUGCAGAACUCCAUCAAGUUCGCCGGCUCCUGAAAAGGAAGGAAGAGCAAGGAUGCACCAUUAACAGCAACCAGGAGUUCCUAUCCCUUAUGCGGCCUUACAAAGACGCCUUCGUGGACCUCUACAAAUUGAUCUCCAUAUCUCUGACCCUGCCUGUAACAUCUGCGAGCUGCGAGCGCAGUUUUUCUUGUCUGCGUCGCUUGAAGAGCUACCUGAGGAAUAGCAGUGGGGAUGGCCGAACCAGUGACCUUGCACUUCUGGCGAUUAACCCUCUGCGAGCACGGGCUUUGGACAUCGACAGGAUCAUAGAUGCCUUCGCUCUCAACCACAACAACAGGCGCAUUGUCCUGUUAUGAAGACGUAGGUGGAAACUGACACCUGAUCUGCUGGCUUGCCUGGAUUUUGGUUUUUCUUAAGGAUUUUAAGCAUAGUUUUGUGUGCACUUUUUGAUACACUUUUUGAUAUCUUAUUAUUGUGGUUUUGAGUGCCUACUGUUUGGUUUCAUGUUUUGAUUGUGACCUAAAAUAAUAUAAUCUAUUUGAAAGCA